GUAGGGAAUCUUCGGCAAUGGGGGGAACCCUGACCGAGCAACGCCGCGUGAGUGAAGAAGGUUUUCGGAUCGUAAAGCUCUGUUGUAAGAGAAGAACGUUGAGUAGAGUGGAAAGUUACUCAAGUGACGGUAUCUUACCAGAAAGGGACGGCUAACUACGUGCCAGCAGCCGCGGUAAUACGUAGGUCCCGAGCGUUGUCCGGAUUUAUUGGGCGUAAAGCGAGCGCAGGCGGCUCUGUAAGUCUGAAGUUAAAGGCAUUGGCUCAACCAAUGUUCGCUUUGGAAACUGCAGGGCUUGAGUGCAGAAGGGGAGAGUGGAAUUCCAUGUGUAGCGGUGAAAUGCGUAGAUAUAUGGAGGAACACCGGUGGCGAAAGCGGCUCUCUGGUCUGUAACUGACGCUGAGGCUCGAAAGCGUGGGGAGCAAACAGGAUUAGAAACCCUAGUAGUCC
Molecule: ribosomal RNA, 450 nt
Filed under: uncultured bacterium
Lineage: Bacteria
Description: bacterial SSU rRNA
Rfam family: Bacterial small subunit ribosomal RNA
Source: RNAcentral